GACGAACGCUGGCGGCGUGCUUAACACAUGCAAGUCGAACGGAAAGGCCCUGCUUUUGUGGGGUGCUCGAGUGGCGAACGGGUGAGUAACACGUGAGUAACCUGCCCUUGACUUUGGGAUAACUUCAGGAAACUGGGGCUCAUACCGGAUAUGAGCUCCUGCUGCAUGUUGGGGGUUGGAAAGUUUCGGCGGUUGGGGAUGGACUCGCGGCUUAUCAGCUUGUUGGUGGGGUAGUGGCUUACCAAGGCUUUGACGGGUAGCCGGCCUGAGAGGGUGACCGGCCACAUUGGGACUGAGAUACGGCCCAGACUCCUACGGGAGGCAGCAGUGGGGAAUAUUGCACAAUGGGCGGAAGCCUGAUGCAGCAACGCCGCGUGCGGGAUGACGGCCUUCGGGUUGUAAACCGCUUUCGCCUGUGACGAAGCGUGAGUGACGGUAAUGGGUAAAGAAGCACCGGCUAACUACGUG
This 468-nucleotide ribosomal RNA is filed under the name uncultured bacterium. RNAcentral's name for it is "partial 16S ribosomal RNA". It matches the Rfam family "Bacterial small subunit ribosomal RNA", at positions 28 to 507 of the family's 1533-position model. The record is from RNAcentral.